CCUACGGCAGGCAGCAGUGGGGAAUUUUGGACAAUGGGCGCAAGCCUGAUCCAGCCAUUCCGCGUGAGUGAAGAAGGCCUUCGGGUUGUAAAGCUCUUUCGCAAGAGAAGAAAACUUACUUUCCAAUAAAGAGUGAGGUUGACGGUAUCUUGAUAAGAAGCACCGGCUAACUACGUGCCAGCAGCCGCGGUAAUACGUAGGGUGCGAGCGUUAAUCGGAAUUACUGGGCGUAAAGCGUGCGCAGGCUGUUUUGUAAGUCAGAUGUGAAAUCCCCGAGCUCAACUUGGGAACUGCGUUUGAAACUACAAGACUAGAAUAUGUCAGAGGGGGGUAGAAUUCCACGUGUAGCAGUGAAAUGCGUAGAGAUGUGGAGGAAUACCAAUGGCGAAGGCAGCCCCCGUGGGAUAAUAUUGACGCUCAUGCACGAAAGCGUGGGGAGCAAACAGGAUUAGAUACCCUGGUAGUCCACGCACAACGAUAGUCUACUAGUUAGUUGGUGGUAGUAAAGUACUAUAGAGUAACGAC
This 525-nucleotide ribosomal RNA is filed under the name uncultured bacterium. RNAcentral's name for it is "bacterial SSU rRNA". It matches the Rfam family "Bacterial small subunit ribosomal RNA", at positions 338 to 850 of the family's 1533-position model. The record is from RNAcentral.